RNAcentral lists this ribosomal RNA (467 nucleotides) under uncultured bacterium. RNAcentral's name for it is "bacterial SSU rRNA". It matches the Rfam family "Bacterial small subunit ribosomal RNA", at positions 193 to 647 of the family's 1533-position model. The record is from RNAcentral.
UUUGCUAUUUGAAAUUCAUUAAUAAUUGCACUAUAGGUAUAUAUUUUUUAGUUUGCGGUAGUUAUUAUGUUGAGGUAUAAUAAGGAAUGAGAGUUAUAAAUUAUAUAUUAGUUUCGUCUGUAUGGGAUCGUUGCCCGUUCCGCUGCCCCCGCCCGCCUACGGGAGGCAGCAGUAAGGAAUAUUGGACAAUGGGCGAAAGCCUGAUCCAGCCAUGCCGCGUGCAGGAAGACGGCCCUACGGGUUGUAAACUGCUUUUAUAUGAGAAGAACAGCUUUGACUUGUCAGAGUAUGACGGUACCAUAUGAAUAAGCACCGGCUAACUCCGUGCCAGCAGCCGCGGUAAUACGGAGGGUGCAAGCGUUAUCCGGAAUUACUGGGUUUAAAGGGUGCGUAGGCUGCAACGUAAGUCAGAAGUGAAAGCUCUCAGCUUAACUGAGGAAUUGCUUUUGAUACUGCGUAGCUUGAAU